Molecule: ribosomal RNA, 207 nt
Filed under: uncultured bacterium
Lineage: Bacteria
Description: partial 16S ribosomal RNA
Rfam family: Bacterial small subunit ribosomal RNA
Source: RNAcentral
CGCGUAGGCGGACCUUCAAGUCGGGUGUGAAACCUGUCGGCUUAACCGGCAGCCUGCAUUCGAUACUGUAGGUCUUGAGUACGGGAGAGGAAAGUGGAAUUCCAGGUGUAGCGGUGAAAUGCGUAGAUAUCUGGAAGAAUACCAGUAGCGAAGGCGGCUUUCUGGACCGAUACUGACGCUAAAGCGCGAAGGCUUGGGGAGCAAACA